This 252-nucleotide ribosomal RNA is filed under the name uncultured prokaryote. RNAcentral describes it as "partial 16S ribosomal RNA". It matches the Rfam family "Bacterial small subunit ribosomal RNA", at positions 525 to 776 of the family's 1533-position model. The record is from RNAcentral.
ACGGGGGGAGCAAGCGUUGUUCGGAUUUACUGGGCGUAAAGCGCUCGCAGGUGGUCCGAUGCGUCGUGCGUGAAAGACCCCGGCUCAACUGGGGGGUGUCGUGCGAUACGGUCGGACUGGAGGCCAGUAGGGGGAUGCGGAAUUCCGGGUGUAGUGGUGGAAUGCGUAGAGAUCCGGAGGAACACCAGCGGCGAAGGCGGCAUCCUGGACUGGUCCUGACACUCAUGAGCGAAAGCGUGGGGAGCGAUCCGG